This 252-nucleotide ribosomal RNA is filed under the name uncultured bacterium. RNAcentral's name for it is "partial 16S ribosomal RNA". It matches the Rfam family "Bacterial small subunit ribosomal RNA", at positions 524 to 774 of the family's 1533-position model. The record is from RNAcentral.
UACGUAGGGUGCAAGCGUUAAUCGGAAUUACUGGGCGUAAAGCGUGCGCAGGCGGUUAUAUAAGACAGUUGUGAAAUCCCCGGGCUCAACCUGGGAACUGCAUCUGUGACUGUAUAGCUAGAGUACGGUAGAGGGGGAUGGAAUUCCGCGUGUAGCAGUGAAAUGCGUAGAUAUGCGGAGGAACACCGAUGGCGAAGGCAAUCCCCUGGACCUGUACUGACGCUCAUGCACGAAAGGCGUGGGGAGCAAACG